UACGGAGGGAGCGAGCGUUGUUCGGAAUUACUGGGCGUAAAGGGUGCGCAGGCGGCUAUGCAAGUCGGAAGUGAAAUCCCAGGGCUUAACCCUGGAAUUGCUUUCGAAACUGCAUAGCUUGAGUCUCGGAGAGGUUGGCGGAAUUCCCAGUGUAGAGGUGAAAUUCGUAGAUAUUGGGAGGAACACCAGUGGCGUAAGCGGCCAACUAGACGAGUACUGACGCUCAAGCACGAAAGCGUGGGGAUCAAACAGG
This 253-nucleotide ribosomal RNA is filed under the name uncultured bacterium. RNAcentral describes it as "partial 16S ribosomal RNA". It matches the Rfam family "Bacterial small subunit ribosomal RNA", at positions 524 to 776 of the family's 1533-position model. The record is from RNAcentral.